Molecule: ribosomal RNA, 668 nt
Filed under: Escherichia coli
Lineage: Bacteria; Pseudomonadati; Pseudomonadota; Gammaproteobacteria; Enterobacterales; Enterobacteriaceae
Description: partial 23S ribosomal RNA
Rfam family: Bacterial large subunit ribosomal RNA
Source: RNAcentral
CCGGGUUGCGGACAGUGUCUGGUGGGUAGUUUGACUGGGGCGGUCUCCUCCUAAAGAGUAACGGAGGAGCACGAAGGUUGGCUAAUCCUGGUCGGACAUCAGGAGGUUAGUGCAAUGGCAUAAGCCAGCUUGACUGCGAGCGUGACGGCGCGAGCAGGUGCGAAAGCAGGUCAUAGUGAUCCGGUGGUUCUGAAUGGAAGGGCCAUCGCUCAACGGAUAAAAGGUACUCCGGGGAUAACAGGCUGAUACCGCCCAAGAGUUCAUAUCGACGGCGGUGUUUGGCACCUCGAUGUCGGCUCAUCACAUCCUGGGGCUGAAGUAGGUCCCAAGGGUAUGGCUGUUCGCCAUUUAAAGUGGUACGCGAGCUGGGUUUAGAACGUCGUGAGACAGUUCGGUCCCUAUCUGCCGUGGGCGCUGGAGAACUGAGGGGGGCUGCUCCUAGUACGAGAGGACCGGAGUGGACGCAUCACUGGUGUUCGGGUUGUCAUGCCAAUGGCACUGCCCGGUAGCUAAAUGCGGAAGAGAUAAGUGCUGAAAGCAUCUAAGCACGAAACUUGCCCCGAGAUGAGUUCUCCCUGACUCCUUGAGAGUCCUGAAGGAACGUUGAAGACGACGACGUUGAUAGGCCGGGUGUGUAAGCGCAGCGAUGCGUUGAGCUAACCGGUACU